RNAcentral lists this ribosomal RNA (216 nucleotides) under Glomeromycotina sp. Its description in RNAcentral is "partial small subunit ribosomal RNA". The stretch from base 75 to 216 matches the Rfam family "Eukaryotic small subunit ribosomal RNA", at positions 721 to 864 of the family's 1831-position model. The record is from RNAcentral. Lineage: Eukaryota; Fungi; Glomeromycota.
GGGUCAGUAGGCUGGUCGUGCCACCGGUACGUACUGGUCUCACUGAUUCCUCCUUCCUGAGGAACCGUAAUGCCAUUAAUUUGGUGUUGCGGGGAAACAGGACUGUUACCUUGAAAAAAUUAGAGUGUUUAAAGCAAGCUAACGCUUGAAUACAUUAGCAUGGAAUAAUGAAAUAGGACGAUCGAUCCUAUUUUGUUGGUUUCUAGGAUUGACGCA